UAUGUGAUCGUCUCUCGCAUAUCAAUAAGCGGAGGAAAAGUAAAUGCUGUAUACCUACGCUUAGGAUGUUGAAGAUGUAGCACAUCAUACACGCAUGACACACUGCAUAUCAAUAAGCGGAGGAAAAGAAACUAACAAGGAUUCCCUUAGUAACGGCGAGUGAAGCGGGAAGAGCUCAAAUUUGAAAUCUUCAAGGUUUUACCUUGACGAAUUGUAGUUUAAAGAAGUGUUUUCUGUUGAAGUUUUGGUAAAAGUUCUUUGGAAUAGGACAUCAUAGAGGGUGAGAAUCCCGUAUUUGACCAUUAUUUUCAGCUGUGUGAUACACUUUCAAAGAGUCGGAUUGUUUGGGAAUGCAGUCCAAAAUGGGUGGUAAAUUUCAUCUAAAGCUAAAUAUUGGCGAGAGACCGAUAGCGAACAAGUACCGUGAGGGAAAGAUGAAAAGAACUUUGAAAAGAGAGUUAAACAGUACGUGAAAUUGUCAAAAGGGAAGCGUUUGACACCAGUGUUGUUUUCCUCGAAAAUCAAUUAAAAAGAGUUAGAUUUUGUUGUGUAUUGACCUUAACAGCUUGCAUUUCAAUUUUCUUGCUUUUUUUAAUGCACUUUUCGUUUAACAAGUCAACAUCAGUUUCUUUUGUUGUAAAAAGGUCAUUGGAAGGUGGCUUUCUUUUCGGAGAAAGUGUUUAUAGCCUUUGACUCCUGCAAUCGGAGAGACUGAGGUCUGCAGCGUAGAUCCUUCGGGGUUAGAUACAUUUGUGCUAAGUUAUAGCUUUUUAUAGACAACUUGUUGACUAUGAUUAGUCUUGUAGCUUACUCGCUUAUGCUAUUUUACCUACGCUUAGGAUGUUGAAGAUGUAGCACAUCAU
RNAcentral lists this ribosomal RNA (863 nucleotides) under uncultured Neocallimastigales. RNAcentral describes it as "partial large subunit ribosomal RNA". It matches the Rfam family "Eukaryotic large subunit ribosomal RNA", at positions 1 to 639 of the family's 3401-position model. The record is from RNAcentral. Lineage: Eukaryota; Fungi; Neocallimastigomycota; Neocallimastigomycetes; Neocallimastigales.